AACGAACGCUGGCGGCAUGCCUAACACAUGCAAGUCGAACGAGACCUUCGGGUCUAGUGGCGCACGGGAGCGUAACGCGUGGGAACCUGCCCUUAGGUUCGGAAUAACUCCCCGAAAGGGGUGCUAAUACCGGAUAAUGUCUUCGGACCAAAGAUUUAUCGCCUUUGGAUGGGCCCGCGUUGGAUUAGCUAGUUGGUAGGGUAAAAGCCUACCAAGGCGACGAUCCAUAGCUGGUUUGAGAGGAUGAUCAGCCACACUGGGACUGAGACACGGCCCAGACUCCUACGGGAGGCAGCAGUAGGGAAUAUUGGACGAUGGGCGAAAGCCUGAUCCAGCAAGGCCGCGUGAGUGAUGAAGGCCUUAGGGUUGUAAAGCUCUUUUAGCCGGGAUGAUAAUGACAGUACCGGGAGAAUAAGCUCCGGCUAACUCCGUG
RNAcentral lists this ribosomal RNA (433 nucleotides) under uncultured bacterium. Its description in RNAcentral is "partial 16S ribosomal RNA". It matches the Rfam family "Bacterial small subunit ribosomal RNA", at positions 29 to 507 of the family's 1533-position model. The record is from RNAcentral.